This 499-nucleotide ribosomal RNA is filed under the name uncultured bacterium. RNAcentral's name for it is "bacterial SSU rRNA". It matches the Rfam family "Bacterial small subunit ribosomal RNA", at positions 30 to 523 of the family's 1533-position model. The record is from RNAcentral.
AUUGAACGCUGGCGGCAUGCUUUACACAUGCAAGUCGAACGGCAGCACGGGGGCAACCCUGGUGGCGAGUGGCGAACGGGUGAGUAAUAUAUCGGAACGUACCCGGAAAUGGGGGAUAACGUAGCGAAAGUUACGCUAAUACCGCAUAUGCCCUAAGGGGGAAAGCGGGGGAUUCGCAAGAACCUCGCGUUUUCGGAGCGGCCGAUAUCGGAUUAGCUAGUAGGUGAGGUAAAGGCUCACCUAGGCGACGAUCCGUAGCUGGUCUGAGAGGACGACCAGCCACACUGGAACUGAGACACGGUCCAGACUCCUACGGGAGGCAGCAGUAGGGAAUAUUGGACAAUGGAGGAAACUCUGAUCCAGCCAUGCCGCGUGAUAGAUGAAGGCCCUCUGGGUUGUAAUAUCUUUUAUCUGGGAAGAAACAAUCUUAUUCUUAAGAAUCUUGUACGGUACCAGAGGAAUAAGCACCGGCUAACUACCGUGCCAGCAGCCGCGGUAA